UGUAGGGAAACCCAUUGCGAACAAUUGUC
This 29-nucleotide non-coding RNA is filed under the name Homo sapiens (human). Lineage: Eukaryota; Metazoa; Chordata; Mammalia; Primates; Hominidae. The record is from RNAcentral.